This 65-nucleotide transfer RNA is filed under the name Geocharax gracilis. RNAcentral's name for it is "tRNA-Lys". The record is from RNAcentral. Lineage: Eukaryota; Metazoa; Arthropoda; Malacostraca; Decapoda; Parastacidae.
UCACUAGAAAACUUUUAAGUCUAGGUCUUUUAAACCUAAAAUAAGCAGACGCCCUGCUACUAGUG